AAGACUAUAGACCUGCGGAGUACCUGCGGAAGGAUCAUUAACAAAUUUAAAAAGAAAAUUGGGAUUGCCUUUCGGGGCUCCUGGUUUUUUUCUUUUUAAAAUUUUUGGUUAGGUUGUAGAGGGGGUUUUCCUCCUCUGCACCUAACAAUCAUCCUCUGUGAACAGUUUAUAAUUUUACCUUGAGUUAAGAAUUUAUUUUCUUUUCUCAAGGGAAACCACUCACUCUUUAAAAUAUUAAAG
Molecule: unclassified non-coding RNA, 240 nt
Filed under: soil metagenome
Description: partial contains 5.8S ribosomal RNA, internal transcribed spacer 2, and large subunit ribosomal RNA
Source: RNAcentral